UUUCCGUAGGUGAACCUGCGGAAGGAUCAUUCAUAAUAAAGUGUUUUAUGGCACUUUUUAAAAAUCCAUAUCCACCUUGUGUGCAAUGUUAGAUCUCGUCAAUCUUGGCGAGAUUUUUAUACAUCAACUCAUUCUUUAACUAAUUUGUCUGAAAAAUAUUAUGAAUACUUAAUUCAAAAUACAACUUUCAACAACGGGUCUCUUGGCUCUCACAUCGAUGAAGAACGCAGC
Molecule: unclassified non-coding RNA, 231 nt
Filed under: plant metagenome
Description: partial contains small subunit ribosomal RNA, internal transcribed spacer 1, and 5.8S ribosomal RNA
Rfam family: 5.8S ribosomal RNA (bases 183-231)
Source: RNAcentral